Molecule: small nuclear RNA, 107 nt
Organism: Marmota marmota marmota (Alpine marmot)
Lineage: Eukaryota; Metazoa; Chordata; Mammalia; Rodentia; Sciuridae
Source: Ensembl
GUGCUUGCUUUAGCAGCACAUAUACUAAAAUUGGAAUGAUAAGAGAAGAUUAACAUGGCCCCUGUGCAAGGAUGACACGCAAAUUUUGUGAAGCGUUCCAUAUUUUU